Molecule: ribosomal RNA, 496 nt
Filed under: uncultured bacterium
Lineage: Bacteria
Description: partial 16S ribosomal RNA
Rfam family: Bacterial small subunit ribosomal RNA
Source: RNAcentral
GAUGAACGCUGGCGGCGUGCCUAAUACAUGCAAGUCGAGCGAACAGACGAGGAGCUUGCUCCUCUGACGUUAGCGGCGGACGGGUGAGUAACACGUGGAUAACCUACCUAUAAGACUGGGAUAACUUCGGGAAACCGGAGCUAAUACCGGAUAAUAUAUUGAACCGCAUGGUUCAAUAGUGAAAGACGGUUUGCUGUCACUUAUAGAUGGAUCCGCGCCGCAUUAGCUAGUUGGUAAGGUAACGGCUUACCAAGGCAACGAUGCGUAGCCGACCUGAGAGGGUGAUCGGUCACACUGGAACUGAGACACGGUCCAGACUCCUACGGGAGGCAGCAGUAGGGAAUCUUCCGCAAUGGGCGAAAGCCUGACGGAGCAACGCCGCGUGAGUGAUGAAGGUCUUCGGAUCGUAAAACUCUGUUAUUAGGGAAGAACAAAUGUGUAAGUAACUAUGCACGUCUUGACGGUACCUAAUCAGAAAGCCACGGCUAACUACGUG